GACGUAGGGCGCAAGCGUUGUCCGGAUUUAUUGGGCGUAAAGAGCUCGUAGGCGGCUUGUUGCGUCGACCGUGAAAACUUGAGGCUUAACCUCAAGCCUGCGGUUGAUACGGGCGGGCUGGAGUUCGGUAGGGGAGACUGGAAUUCCUGGUGUAGCGGUGAAAUGCGCAGAUAUCAGGAGGAACACCGGUGGCGAAGGCGGGUCUCUGGGCCGAUACUGACGCUGAGGAGCGAAAGCGUGGGGAGCGAACAGGAUUAGAUACCCUGGUAGUCCACGCUGUAAACGUUGGGCGCUAGGUGUGGGGGUCCUCUCCGGGUCUCUGUGCCGCAGCUAACGCAUUAAGCGCCCCGCCUGGGGAGUACGGCCGCAAGGCUAAA
Molecule: ribosomal RNA, 377 nt
Filed under: uncultured bacterium
Lineage: Bacteria
Description: bacterial SSU rRNA
Rfam family: Bacterial small subunit ribosomal RNA
Source: RNAcentral